Molecule: transfer RNA, 75 nt
Filed under: Podarcis lilfordi (Lilford's wall lizard)
Lineage: Eukaryota; Metazoa; Chordata; Lepidosauria; Squamata; Lacertidae
Description: tRNA.Ile
Source: RNAcentral
GCUUGGAUAGCUCAGUUGGUUAGAGCCUGGUGCUGAUAAUGCCAGGGUUGCAGGUUUGAUUCCCAGCUGCAUAUU